This 292-nucleotide ribosomal RNA is filed under the name uncultured microorganism. RNAcentral's name for it is "partial 16S ribosomal RNA". It matches the Rfam family "Bacterial small subunit ribosomal RNA", at positions 505 to 796 of the family's 1533-position model. The record is from RNAcentral.
GUGCCAGCAGCCGCGGUAAUACGUAGGGGGCAAGCGUUGUCCGGAAUUAUUGGGCGUAAAGGGCACGCAGGCGGUCCGGCAAGUCUGAUGUGAAAGGCCGUGGCUCAACCACGGAAUGGCAUUGGAAACUGCCAGACUUGAGUACAGAAGAGGAGAGUGGAAUUCCACGUGUAGCGGUGAAAUGCGUAGAGAUGUGGAGGAACACCAGUGGCGAAGGCGACUCUCUGGUCUGUAACUGACGCUGAGGUGCGAAAGCGUGGGGAGCGAACAGGAUUAGAUACCCUGGUAGUCC